This 253-nucleotide ribosomal RNA is filed under the name uncultured bacterium. Its description in RNAcentral is "partial 16S ribosomal RNA". It matches the Rfam family "Bacterial small subunit ribosomal RNA", at positions 524 to 776 of the family's 1533-position model. The record is from RNAcentral.
UACAGGGGGGGCAAGCGUUGUUCGGAAUUACUGGGCGUAAAGGGCUCGUAGGUGGCCAACUAAGUCAGACGUGAAAUCCCUCAGCUUAACUGGGGAACUGCGUCUGAUACUGGAUGGCUUGAGUUUGGGAGAGGGAUGCGGAAUUCCAGGUGUAGCGGUGAAAUGCGUAGAUAUCUGGAGGAACACCGGUGGCGAAGGCGGCAUCCUGGACCAACACUGACGCUGAGGAGCGAAAGCGUGGGUAGCAAACAGG